RNAcentral lists this ribosomal RNA (301 nucleotides) under uncultured Microbacterium sp. RNAcentral describes it as "bacterial SSU rRNA". It matches the Rfam family "Bacterial small subunit ribosomal RNA", at positions 509 to 809 of the family's 1533-position model. Lineage: Bacteria; Bacillati; Actinomycetota; Actinomycetes; Micrococcales; Microbacteriaceae. The record is from RNAcentral.
CAGCAGCCGCGGUAAUACGUAGGGCGCAAGCGUUAUCCGGAAUUAUUGGGCGUAAAGAGCUCGUAGGCGGUUUGUCGCGUCUGCUGUGAAAUCCCGAGGCUCAACCUCGGGUCUGCAGUGGGUACGGGCAGACUAGAGUGCGGUAGGGGAGAUUGGAAUUCCUGGUGUAGCGGUGGAAUGCGCAGAUAUCAGGAGGAACACCGAUGGCGAAGGCAGAUCUCUGGGCCGUAACUGACGCUGAGGAGCGAAAGGGUGGGGAGCAAACAGGCUUAGAUACCCUGGUAGUCCACCCCGUAAACGU